GUAGCUCAGUGGUAGAGUACUUGCCUUGCAUGCAUGAAGCCCUGGGUUCGAUUCCUCAGC
This 60-nucleotide transfer RNA is filed under the name Dipodomys ordii (Ord's kangaroo rat). It matches the Rfam family "tRNA", at positions 7 to 64 of the family's 71-position model. From Rfam's summary of the family: Transfer RNA (tRNA) molecules are approximately 80 nucleotides in length. Their secondary structure includes four short double-helical elements and three loops (D, anti-codon, and T loops). Lineage: Eukaryota; Metazoa; Chordata; Mammalia; Rodentia; Heteromyidae. The record is from Rfam by way of RNAcentral.